This 503-nucleotide ribosomal RNA is filed under the name uncultured bacterium. Its description in RNAcentral is "partial 16S ribosomal RNA". It matches the Rfam family "Bacterial small subunit ribosomal RNA", at positions 29 to 523 of the family's 1533-position model. The record is from RNAcentral.
AUUGAACGCUGGCGGCACGCCUAACACAUGCAAGUCGAGCGGCAGCGUGAUCAGUAGCAAUACUGAUUGUCGGCGAGCGGCGGACGGGUGAGUAAUACGUAGGAACCUGCCCAGAAGUGGGGGAUAACUAAUGGAAACGUUAGCUAAUACCGCAUACAUUCGGGAGAAGAAAGCUGCCGGUAACGGUGGCGCUUUUGGAGGGGCCUGCGUCCGAUUAGCUAGUUGGUGAGCUAAUGGCUCACCAAGGCGAUGAUCGGUAACUGGUCUGAGAGGACGACCAGGCACACUGGGACUGAGACACGGCCCAGACUCCUACGGGAGGCAGCAGUGGGGAAUCUUGGACAGUGGGGGCAACCCUGAUCCAGCGAUGCCGCGUGAGUGAAGAAGGCCCUCGGGUCGUAAAGCUCUUUAGGCUGGGAAGAAGUGUGGAAGAGGAAGUGCUUUUACAUUGACGGUACCAGCAGAAUAAGCACCGGCAAACUCUGUGCCAGCCGCCGCGGUAA